GAUGAACGCUGGCGGCGUGCUUAACACAUGCAAGUCGAACGAAGCAUUUAAGACAGAUUACUUCGGUUUGAAGUCUUUUAUGACUGAGUGGCGGACGGGUGAGUAACGCGUGGGUAACCUGCCUCAUACAGGGGGAUAGCAGCUGGAAACGGCUGGUAAUACCGCAUAAGCGCACAGUACCACAUGGUACAGUGUGAAAAACUCCGGUGGUAUGAGAUGGACCCGCGUCUGAUUAGCUUGUUGGCGGGGUAACGGCCCACCAAGGCGACGAUCAGUAGCCGACCUGAGAGGGUGACCGGCCACAUUGGGACUGAGACACGGCCCAGACUCCUACGGGAGGCAGCAGUGGGGAAUAUUGCACAAUGGAGGAAACUCUGAUGCAGCGACGCCGCGUGAGUGAAGAAGUAGUUCGCUAUGUAAAGCUCUAUCAGCAGGGAAGAUAGUGACGGUACCUGACUAAGAAGCUCCGGCUAAAUACG
This 479-nucleotide ribosomal RNA is filed under the name uncultured bacterium. Its description in RNAcentral is "partial 16S ribosomal RNA". It matches the Rfam family "Bacterial small subunit ribosomal RNA", at positions 28 to 505 of the family's 1533-position model. The record is from RNAcentral.